RNAcentral lists this long non-coding RNA (676 nucleotides) under Marmota monax (woodchuck). Lineage: Eukaryota; Metazoa; Chordata; Mammalia; Rodentia; Sciuridae. The record is from RNAcentral.
AGCACAUUCACUGGCAGGAACAAGUUGGGUAAAGGUGAUUGGCUAGUACAAGAGGGGGGGUUCCUUUGAACUGAUUAGUUUAAACCACAAGGGGUGUACUUACUAAACUACAUGGUUUCCCAACAUGUUAUCUACCACCAUAAACUACUGGGGGUCAUCUGGCAUCCCAGGUAUUUCCCUGUCUCAUGCUGAUUGGUGGCUGCUAGGGGGCUGCUGUGGAUCCCCACCUAGCCUGACUGAGUCAGGGACACCUGGUGCAGCAGAUCUCUCCUGUUAUUUGUAGACAAACAACUCAGCAGGUGGGUAUGUGCUUAGGAGUGCUCUGUGGGUUUUUCCAAGGACAAAGGUCACACCCACUUCCUUUGUCAGGCUUUGCGCUGAGGUAGAGGCUGGUUUCUCAAAAAUGGAGUCCCACUAGUUUCUCACAUGAAAGGGUAAGAUAAGGUGUCGAUUGAAAAGUACCAGCCCUAGCUUGACCCCCAGGCACCCCAUGAGUGUUCUCAGACACAAGUUUAUUCCUAUAGUUGUUUAUGAUGAUUCUCUCAAAUGACAGGCAAGACAGACAACAUGUCUGUCAGGAGCUGCCACAUAGGAACCAGAUGCCCCUUAGCCUUGAGCAAUGAGAAUGUGGAGAUGUGACAAGCCAGCCAUGGGGUGUGUGUGUGUGUGUGUGUGU